CCCCACUGCUAUCGAGGUGGGACUAAGCCAUGCCAGUCGAACGACCCGGACUAUGGCGGGGAGUGGCAGACUGCUCAGUAACACGUAGCUAACCUACCCUCGGGACGGGGAUAACCCCGGGAAACUGGGGCUAAUACCCGAUAGGUGUGGAUUCCUGGAAUGGUGCCAUGCCUAAACGUAAGCACAUCCAUGUUUGUGUGCACGCCCGAGGAUGGGGCUGCGGCCGAUCAGGCAGUUGGUGAGGUAACGGCUCACCAAACCUUUGACCGGUACGGGCCAUGAGAGUGGUAGCCCGGAGAUGGGCACUGAGACAAGGGCCCAGGCCCUACGGGGCGCAGCAGGCGCGAAACCUCCACAAUUCACGCAAGUGAGAUGGGGUUACCUCGAGUGCCAUCUGAAGAAGGUGGCUUUUCCAUGGUGUAAUGAGCCGUGGGAAUAAGGGGGGGGCAAGACUGGUGUCAGCCGCCGCGGUAACACCAGCCCCCCGAGUGGUGGGGAUGAUUAUUUGGCCUAAAGCGUCCGUAGCCAGCUCGGUAAAUCUCUCGUUAAAUCCAGCGUCCUAAGCGUUGGGCUGCGAGGGAAACUGCCGAACUAGAGGGUGGGAGAGGUCAGCGGUAUUCCUGGGGUAGGGGCGAAAUCCAUUGAUCCCAGGAGGACCACCAGUGGCGAAGGCUGCUGACUAGAACACGCCUGACGGUGAGGGACGAAAGCUGGGGUAGCGAAUCGGAUUAGAUACCCGAGUAGUCCCAGCCGUAAACGAUGCAGGCUAGGUGUUGGGUCGGCCAUGCGCCGCCUCAGUGCCACAGGGAAGCCAUUAAGCCUGCCGCCUGGGGAGUACGGCCGCAAGGCUGAAACUUAAAGGAAUUGGCGGGGGAGCACCACCAGGCGUGAAGCCUGCGGUUU
This 903-nucleotide ribosomal RNA is filed under the name uncultured archaeon. RNAcentral describes it as "bacterial SSU rRNA". It matches the Rfam family "Archaeal small subunit ribosomal RNA", at positions 21 to 903 of the family's 1478-position model. The record is from RNAcentral.